This 135-nucleotide transfer RNA is filed under the name Stenotrophomonas sp. Sm0581. Its description in RNAcentral is "tRNA-OTHER". Lineage: Bacteria; Pseudomonadati; Pseudomonadota; Gammaproteobacteria; Lysobacterales; Lysobacteraceae. The record is from RNAcentral. RNAcentral also lists the same sequence under 1 other name.
CGGGUUGGGGCGCAAUCUGCACUUUUGGGAGGCCUCGCGCAGGCCUGAAACCCUUACAGAUCAACAGGAUGGGCCUAUCUGUAACGAUGCCUGGGGGGCAGAGGGUCGUCGGUUCGAAUCCGGCCGUCCCGACCA